Eucalyptus grandis is the source of this 259-nucleotide long non-coding RNA. RefSeq lists it as uncharacterized. The transcript has 3 exons. NCBI's taxonomy places the organism in Eukaryota, Viridiplantae, Streptophyta, Magnoliopsida, Myrtales, Myrtaceae. The record is from RefSeq and is a predicted model, not a curated record.
GUUUUUCUUAACUAUCUGGUUGGGACACAGGGCAGCAUUGACCUCGAAUGGUUAAGAAAUUGUCCACCUGAGAAAGCAAAGGAGUACUUGUUAGAAGUAGAUGGAUUGGGAUUGAAAAGUGUGGAGUGUGUGCGACUUUUGUCACUUCACCACGUAGCCUUCCCGGUCGAUACUAAUGUUGCUCGCAUAGCAGUGCGUCUUGGUUGGGUUCCCCUUGAACCAUUACCCGAAAAUCUUCAAAUACAUCUGCUUGAAAAGU